UCUGUUUCUACCUGUGACCUGGAAGAUAUUCUGACAAGAAUUAAGAAAUGGGAAACCAGAAGAGUGAAGGCCCAUCUGUCAAGAUGCCGGUGAAGAAGAGCAGCGAUUCCUCAAAGAAGCCCCAGGCCACAUUGCCUUCAGUAAACGGGUGAAGUCUACCUCUGAGGGACGCCUCCUACACCGUACAAAAGCCCAGGUCACGUUACCUCCAUCUGUG
Long non-coding RNA from Poecile atricapillus (Black-capped chickadee), 217 nucleotides. RefSeq lists it as uncharacterized. The transcript is spliced from 3 exons. The record is from RefSeq and is a predicted model, not a curated record. NCBI's taxonomy places the organism in Eukaryota, Metazoa, Chordata, Aves, Passeriformes, Paridae.